RNAcentral lists this ribosomal RNA (748 nucleotides) under uncultured bacterium. Its description in RNAcentral is "bacterial SSU rRNA". It matches the Rfam family "Bacterial small subunit ribosomal RNA", at positions 30 to 773 of the family's 1533-position model. The record is from RNAcentral.
UGAACGCUGGCGGCAGGCCUAACACAUGCAAGUCGAGCGGUAGAGAGAAGCUUGCUUCUCUUGAGAGCGGCGGACGGGUGAGUAAUGCCUAGGAAUCUGCCUGGUAGUGGGGGAUAACGUUCGGAAACGGACGCUAAUACCGCAUACGUCCUACGGGAGAAAGCAGGGGACCUUCGGGCCUUGCGCUAUCAGAUGAGCCUAGGUCGGAUUAGCUAGUUGGUGAGGUAAUGGCUCACCAAGGCGACGAUCCGUAACUGGUCUGAGAGGAUGAUCAGUCACACUGGAACUGAGACACGGUCCAGACUCCUACGGGAGGCAGCAGUGGGGAAUAUUGGACAAUGGGCGAAAGCCUGAUCCAGCCAUGCCGCGUGUGUGAAGAAGGUCUUCGGAUUGUAAAGCACUUUAAGUUGGGAGGAAGGGUUGUAGAUUAAUACUCUGCAAUUUUGACGUUACCGACAGAAUAAGCACCGGCUAACUCUGUGCCAGCAGCCGCGGUAAUACAGAGGGUGCAAGCGUUAAUCGGAAUUACUGGGCGUAAAGCGCGCGUAGGUGGUUUGUUAAGUUGGAUGUGAAAUCCCCGGGCUCAACCUGGGAACUGCAUUCAAAACUGACUGACUAGAGUAUGGUAGAGGGUGGUGGAAUUUCCUGUGUAGCGGUGAAAUGCGUAGAUAUAGGAAGGAACACCAGUGGCGAAGGCGACCACCUGGACUAAUACUGACACUGAGGUGCGAAAGCGUGGGGAGCAAAC